GCAGUCGAACGGCAGCACGGGGGCAACCCUGGUGGCGAGUGGCGAACGGGUGAGUAAUACAUCCAAACGUGUCCUGUAGUGGGGGAUAGCCCGGCGAAAGCCGGAUUAAUACCGCAUACGAUCUGUGGAUGAAAGCGGGGGAUCUUCGGACCUCGCGCUACAGGGGCGGCCGAUGGCAGAUUAGCUAGUUGGUGGGGUAAAGGCCUACCAAGGCGACGAUCUGUAGCUGGUCUGAGAGGACGACCAGCCACACUGGGACUGAGACACGGCCCAGACUCCUACGGGAGGCAGCAGUGGGGAAUUUUGGACAAUGGGCGCAAGCCUGAUCCAGCAAUGCCGCGUGUGUGAAGAAGGCCUUCGGGUUGUAAAGCACUUUUGUCCGGAAAGAAAACCUCUUGGUUAAUACCUGAGGGGGAUGACGGUACCGGAAGAAUAAGCACCGGCUAACUACGUGCCAGCAGCCGCGGUAAUACGUAUGGUGCAAGCGUUAAUCGGAAUUACUGGGCGUAAGCGUGCGCAGCGGUUCGCUAAACAGAUGUGAAAUCCCGGGCUUACCUGAACUGCAUUUGUGACUGGCGGCUAAGUAUG
RNAcentral lists this ribosomal RNA (588 nucleotides) under uncultured Burkholderia sp. RNAcentral describes it as "bacterial SSU rRNA". It matches the Rfam family "Bacterial small subunit ribosomal RNA", at positions 57 to 648 of the family's 1533-position model. Lineage: Bacteria; Pseudomonadati; Pseudomonadota; Betaproteobacteria; Burkholderiales; Burkholderiaceae. The record is from RNAcentral.